CUUUUUUUAAACGACACACACGUUCCGACACAGUGAUCUGGGUGCCUAAAGGCGUAAUAUUAGCUUGACUGGUUGAUCUACUGGGGUACGUGGAGGCUUAAC
Molecule: small RNA, 102 nt
Filed under: marine eukaryotic metagenome
Description: t44 RNA
Rfam family: t44 RNA
About the family: This family consists of a number of bacterial RNA genes of between 135 and 170 bases in length. The t44 gene is found between the map and rpsB genes in all species in the full alignment apart from Shigella flexneri. The function of this RNA is unknown.
Source: RNAcentral